Molecule: ribosomal RNA, 253 nt
Filed under: uncultured bacterium
Lineage: Bacteria
Description: partial 16S ribosomal RNA
Rfam family: Bacterial small subunit ribosomal RNA
Source: RNAcentral
GACGUAGGGCGCGAGCGUUGUCCGGAUUUAUUGGGCGUAAAGAGCUCGUAGGCGGCUUGUCGCGUCGACUGUGAAAACCCGCGGCUCAACUGCGGGCCUGCAGCCGAUACGGGCAGGCUAGAGUUCGGUAGGGGAGACUGGAAUUCCCGGUGUAGUGGUGGAAUGCGUAGAUAUCGGGAGGAACACCAGUGGCGAAGGCGGUUGCCUGGAGCUUUGCUGACGCUGAGGCGCGAAAGCGUGGGGAGCGAUCCGG